CCCCCUUUUCAAAAACUUUCUUUACUUGUGAUUUCAAACUUAGACCUUAUUUCAAGUAAAACCUUUAGCUUUAUGCCAUUGAAUUUUCAAACUCUUUUCUUAAAUCAAUCUUGUAAAUGAACUUAACCAUAUUUGACUUAAAACUUCAAAAGACAAAAACAACUAACACCUAUUCAAAAUUUUGGCCCCUUUUGUGCCCCUUUUUUAUUAAAUUUUUUUUAUUAAAAGAAACUCACCCAUUUUGAAAUUGUUACCACGAACUACGAGAUUUUGAUCCCUCAUUUUUAUAUUGGUACGUAGGCAUAAGUCCGAAGGACUUGUCAAAGACAAAAAUAUAAUCCAUAAAUUCUUUUCUCAUCCCCACACUCUAGUUAUUCUCAAACAUCUUUUAUACCAAAAACACAUACACACAUAAAAAAGGGCUCCCUAGGAGCACCUAGGACACUUUGGGUGCCAACACCUUCCCUC
RNAcentral lists this long non-coding RNA (468 nucleotides) under Lathyrus oleraceus (garden pea). Its description in RNAcentral is "Pisum sativum (pea) long non-coding RNA (PSAT_LNC020036)". Lineage: Eukaryota; Viridiplantae; Streptophyta; Magnoliopsida; Fabales; Fabaceae. The record is from RNAcentral.